AUUGAACGCUGGCGGCAUGCCUUACACAUGCAAGUCGAACGGCAGCACGGGAGCAAUCCUGGUGGCGAGUGGCGAACGGGUGAGUAAUAUAUCGGAACGUACCUUUCAGUGGGGGAUAACGUAGCGAAAGUUACGCUAAUACCGCAUAUUCUGUGAGCAGGAAAGCAGGGGGAUCGCAAGACCUUGCGCUGAUUGAGCGGCCGAUAUCAGAUUAGCUAGUUGGUGAGGUAAAGGCUCACCAAGGCGACGAUCUGUAGCGGGUCUGAGAGGAUGAUCCGCCACACUGGAACUGAGACACGGUCCAGACUCCUACGGGAGGCAGCAGUGGGGAAUUUUGGACGAAUGGGCGCAAGCCUGAUCCAGCCAUGCCGCGUGAGUGAAGAA
This 384-nucleotide ribosomal RNA is filed under the name uncultured bacterium. RNAcentral describes it as "bacterial SSU rRNA". It matches the Rfam family "Bacterial small subunit ribosomal RNA", at positions 30 to 412 of the family's 1533-position model. The record is from RNAcentral.